CAGCCGCCACGGUAAUACGUAGGGUGCGAGCGUUAAUCGGAAUUACUGGGCGUAAAGCGUGCGCAGGCGGUUGUGUAAGACAGGUGUGAAAUCCCCGGGCUUAACCUGGGAACUGCGCUUGUGACUGCACAGCUAGAGUAUGGCAGAGGGGGGUGGAAUUCCACGUGUAGCAGUGAAAUGCGUAGAUAUGUGGAGGAAUACCGAUGGCGAAGGCAGCCCCCUGGGCCAAUACUGACGCUCAUGCACGAAAGCGUGGGGAGCAAAUGGGAUUAGAUACCCCCGUAGUCCCUGUCUCUUAUAC
This 301-nucleotide ribosomal RNA is filed under the name uncultured bacterium. Its description in RNAcentral is "partial 16S ribosomal RNA". It matches the Rfam family "Bacterial small subunit ribosomal RNA", at positions 509 to 807 of the family's 1533-position model. The record is from RNAcentral.